CCAGCUCCAAUAGCGUAUAUUAAAGUUGUUGCAGUUAAAAAGCUCGUAGUUGGAUUUCGGAAGGUCUUUAGUGGUCCGCCCCUUCGGGGAGCGGGUCACUGGCCUCCUAUGUUCCUAACGGUCCUCAUCCGCGAGGGUGGGGAAUCAACCGCUAGGAUCGUUUACUUUGAGGAAAUUAGAGUGUUCAAAGCAGGCGUAACUCGCCUCCGAAUACGUUAGCAUGGGAUAAUGGAAUACGACUUCGGUCUUGUUUCGUUGGUUUCGCUUGGCUGAAGUAAUGAUUGAUAGGGACAGUUGGGGGCAUUAGUAUUUAGUUGUCAGAGGUGAAAUUCUUGGAUUUAUGGAAGACGAACUACUGCGAAAGCAUUUACCAAGGAUGUUUUCAUUAAUCAAGAACGAAAGUUAGGGGAUCGAAGAUGAUUAGAUACCGUCGUAGUCUCUACCGUAAACUAUGCCGACCAGGGAUCCGGAGAGUUUGCAUGGAUGACUCCCCGGGCACCUUGUGAGAAAUCAUAAGUGUUUGGGUUUUGGGGGGAGUAUGGUCGCAAGGCUGAAACUUAAAGGAAUUGACGGAAGGGCACCACCAGGAGUGGAACCUGCGGCUUAAUUCGACUCAAC
RNAcentral lists this ribosomal RNA (618 nucleotides) under uncultured eukaryote. RNAcentral's name for it is "SSU rRNA". It matches the Rfam family "Eukaryotic small subunit ribosomal RNA", at positions 585 to 1204 of the family's 1831-position model. The record is from RNAcentral.